RNAcentral lists this ribosomal RNA (406 nucleotides) under uncultured bacterium. RNAcentral describes it as "partial 16S ribosomal RNA". It matches the Rfam family "Bacterial small subunit ribosomal RNA", at positions 30 to 526 of the family's 1533-position model. The record is from RNAcentral.
AUUGAACGCUGGCGGCAGGCCUAACACAUGCAAGUCGAGCGAGCGGCGGACGGGUGAGUAAUGUAUGGGGAUCUGCCUGAUGGAGGGGGAUAACUACUGGAAACGGUAGCUAAUACCGCAUACUAUAGGAUGAGCCCAUAUGGUAUUAGCUAGUAGGUGGGGUAAAGGCUCACCUAGGCGACGAUCUCUAGCUGGUCUGAGAGGAUGAUCAGCCACACUGGGACUGAGACACGGCCCAGACUCCUACGGGAGGCAGCAGUGGGGAAUAUUGCACAAUGGGCGCAAGCCUGAUGCAGCCAUGCCGCGUGUAUGAAGAAGGCCUUAGGGUUGUAAAGUUCUUUCAGCGGGGAGGCGUUACCCGCAGAAGAAGCACCGGCUAACUCCGUGCCAGCAGCCGCGGUAAUAC